GAACGCACCUUGCGCCCCUUGGUAUUCCGAGGGGCAUGCCUGUUUGAGUGUCAUU
Molecule: ribosomal RNA, 55 nt
Filed under: Leccinum atrostipitatum
Lineage: Eukaryota; Fungi; Basidiomycota; Agaricomycetes; Boletales; Boletaceae
Description: partial 5.8S ribosomal RNA
Rfam family: 5.8S ribosomal RNA
About the family: 5.8S ribosomal RNA (5.8S rRNA) is a component of the large subunit of the eukaryotic ribosome.
Source: RNAcentral